Molecule: ribosomal RNA, 360 nt
Filed under: uncultured bacterium
Lineage: Bacteria
Description: partial 16S ribosomal RNA
Rfam family: Bacterial small subunit ribosomal RNA
Source: RNAcentral
CCUACGGGAGGCAGCAGUGAGGAAUAUUGGUCAAUGGGCGCGAGCCCGAACCAGCUAAGUCACGUGAGGGAAGACGGUCCUAUGGUUUUUAAACCCCUUUUUUCGGGGAGCAAAAGACGCCACGCGUGGCGUUCCUAGAGUACCCGAAGAAAAAGCAUCGGCUAACUCCGUGCCAGCAGCGGCGGUAAUACGGAGGAUGCGAGCGUUAUCCGGAUUUAGUGGGUUUAAAGGGUGCGCAGGGGGAAGAUAAAGUCAGCGGUAAAAUUGAGAGGCUCAACCUCUUCGAGCCGUUGAAACUGGUUUACUUGAGUGAGCGAGAAGUAUGCGGAAUGCGUGGUGUAGCGGUGAAAUGCAUAGAUA